CACCCGAUCCCAUUCCGAACUCGGCCGUUAAACCUCUUAUCGCCUAUGGUACUUUGUCUUAAGACACGGGAGAGUCGGUAACCGCCAGUU
This 90-nucleotide ribosomal RNA is filed under the name Alphaproteobacteria bacterium. Lineage: Bacteria; Pseudomonadati; Pseudomonadota; Alphaproteobacteria. The record is from RNAcentral.